Molecule: unclassified non-coding RNA, 315 nt
Filed under: plant metagenome
Description: partial contains 5.8S ribosomal RNA, internal transcribed spacer 2, and large subunit ribosomal RNA
Rfam family: 5.8S ribosomal RNA (bases 1-105)
Source: RNAcentral
GAACUGCGAUAAGUAAUGUGAAUUGCAGAAUUCAGUGAAUCUUCGAGUCUUUGAACGCACAUUGCGCCCCCUGGCAUUCCGGGGGGCAUGCCUGUCCGAGCGUCAUUGCUGCCCUUCAAGCCCGGCUUGUGUGUUGGGUCGUCGUCCCCUCCGGGGGACGGGCCCGAAAGGCAGCGGCGGCACCGCGUCCGGUCCUCGAGCGUAUGGGGCUUUGUCACCCGCUCGAUAAGGACCGGCCGGGCGCCAGCCGGCGUCUCCAACCUUUUUUUCUCAGGUUGACCUCGGAUCAGGUAGGGAUACCCGCUGAACUUAAGC